ACGAACGCUGGCGGCGUGCUUAACACAUGCAAGUCGAACGGAAAGGCCCUGCUUUUGUGGGGUGCUCGAGUGGCGAACGGGUGAGUAACACGUGAGUAACCUGCCCUUGACUUUGGGAUAACUUCAGGAAACUGGGGCUAAUACCGGAUAGGAGCUCCUGCUGCAUGGUGGGGGUUGGAAAGUUUCGGCGGUUGGGGAUGGACUCGCGGCUUAUCAGCUUGUUGGUGGGGUAGUGGCUUACCAAGGCUUUGACGGGUAGCCGGUCUGAGAGGGUGACCGGCCACAUUGGGACUGAGAUACGGCCCAGACUCCUACGGGAGGCAGCAGUGGGGAAUAUUGCACAAUGGGCGGAAGCCUGAUGCAGCAACGCAGCGUGCGGGAUGACGGCCUUCGGGUUGUAAACCGCUUUCGCCUGUGACGAAGCGUGAGUGACGGUAAUGGGUAAAGAAGCACCGGCUAACUACGUG
This 467-nucleotide ribosomal RNA is filed under the name uncultured bacterium. RNAcentral's name for it is "partial 16S ribosomal RNA". It matches the Rfam family "Bacterial small subunit ribosomal RNA", at positions 29 to 507 of the family's 1533-position model. The record is from RNAcentral.